UAGGGAAUCUUCGGCAAUGGGGGGAACCCUGACCGAGCAACGCCGCGUGAGUGAAGAAGGUUUUCGGAUCGUAAAGCUCUGUUGUUAAGGAAGAACGAGUGUGAGAAUGGAAAGUUCAUACUGUGACGGUACUUAAACAGAAAGGGACGGCUAACUACGUGCCAGCAGCCGCGGUAAUACGUAGGUCCCGAGCGUUGUCCGGAUUUAUUGGGCGUAAAGCGAGCGCAGGCGGUUAGAUAAGUCUGAAGUUAAAGGCAGUGGCUCAACCAUUGUAGGCUUUGGAAACUGUUUAACUUGAGUGCAGAAGGGGAGAGUGGAAUUCCAUGUGUAGCGGUUAAAUGCGUAGAUAUAUGGAGGAACACCAGUGGCGAAGGCGACUCUCUGGUCUGUAACUGACGCUGAGGCUCGAAAGCGUGGGUAGCAAACAGG
RNAcentral lists this ribosomal RNA (429 nucleotides) under Bacteroidota bacterium. RNAcentral's name for it is "Bacteroidetes bacterium partial 16S ribosomal RNA". It matches the Rfam family "Bacterial small subunit ribosomal RNA", at positions 355 to 776 of the family's 1533-position model. The record is from RNAcentral. Lineage: Bacteria; Pseudomonadati; Bacteroidota.